This 540-nucleotide ribosomal RNA is filed under the name uncultured Acinetobacter sp. RNAcentral describes it as "bacterial SSU rRNA". It matches the Rfam family "Bacterial small subunit ribosomal RNA", at positions 958 to 1498 of the family's 1533-position model. The record is from RNAcentral. Lineage: Bacteria; Pseudomonadati; Pseudomonadota; Gammaproteobacteria; Moraxellales; Moraxellaceae.
AACGCGAAGAACCUUACCUGGCCUUGACAUAGUAGAGACUUUCCAGAGAUGGAUUGGUGCCUUCGGGAAUCUACAUACAGGUGCUGCAUGGCUGUCGUCAGCUCGUGUCGUGAGAUGUUGGGUUAAGUCCCGCAACGAGCGCAACCCUUUUCCUUACUUGCCAGCAUUUCGGAUGGGAACUUUAAGGAUACUGCCAGUGACAAACUGGAGGAAGGCGGGGACGACGUCAAGUCAUCAUGGCCCUUACGGCCAGGGCUACACACGUGCUACAAUGGUCGGUACAAAGGGUUGCUACACAGCGAUGUGAUGCUAAUCUCAAAAAGCCGAUCGUAGUCCGGAUCGCAGUCUGCAACUCGACUGCGUGAAGUCGGAAUCGCUAGUAAUCGCGGAUCAGAAUGCCGCGGUGAAUACGUUCCCGGGCCUUGUACACACCGCCCGUCACACCAUGGGAGUUUGUUGCACCAGAAGUAGGUAGUCUAACCGCAAGGAGGACGCUUACCACGGUGUGGCCGAUGACUGGGGUGAAGUCGUAACAAGGUA